This is a long non-coding RNA of Poecilia reticulata (guppy), 274 nucleotides long. RefSeq lists it as uncharacterized. The record is from RefSeq and is a predicted model, not a curated record. Lineage: Eukaryota; Metazoa; Chordata; Actinopteri; Cyprinodontiformes; Poeciliidae.
UGCGGAAAGGAGAACGUCCCAAUGGGUUGGUGGUCCUGUGGCAACCAUUGGUGAUCGGUAGCAGUCACAAGAGCAGGAAAGGAAAAAAAGCAAACGUGUUGAGAGCAACUUUGGAAGGACCAAAGGGCGACUGGAGAAUGGCAGAGUYGCAGGUUGAAAACCACUGUCUUUGUGCCUUGCAAGAAUGUUCAUGAACCUUGAUUCUGUUAUGUAAUAAACCAAUGCAAACUAAUGCAUAUUGUGAAUGUCAGAAAAACUAAAUGUGGCGUUUGUG